UCAUCUAAGAAAUUUGAUUAAGAGUGAGUUCCAACAACUCAAUAAGACCAACAGUAAUAAAGCAACACAAGUAACUUUUGAAAGUCAUUUAAUGUACUUAAUAAAAUACAAUUAAUCAAUAUAAAACUCACUACAUCCAUCAAUCAGUCAUUCAAUAAUUCUAGAUUAUCAUAGCUAGCUUAACAGUGCACUUAAUACCGUAUU
RNAcentral lists this long non-coding RNA (204 nucleotides) under Carica papaya (papaya). Its description in RNAcentral is "long non-coding RNA (CPAP_LNC010751)". The record is from RNAcentral. Lineage: Eukaryota; Viridiplantae; Streptophyta; Magnoliopsida; Brassicales; Caricaceae.